GCAAGAGGGAGGCAGAAGAGAGAGAAGUGGAGAAACGGCAGCAUGAGGGGGACUUGGCCUGAUCUUGCUAGCUUUGAAGAUAGAGAAAUGGGGUAAUGAGCCAAGGAAUGCAGGCAGCCUCUAAAAAAGAAGAAAAAGCAAGAAAACAAAUUAUCCCUGGGAGCCUUCAGAAAGAAACACAGCCCUGGCAACACCAGGAUUUUAGCCCGGCAAAACCCAUUUCAGACUUCCGAUCUCCAGAACACUGCCUGAUGCUGACUCUAUUGCAGUGCUUACAGGGCUCUUCUCUUCAGCAGCUCUGCCCUUCACAUCUGCUCAAAGCUUUACAUUCCAGUUUCGGCUCAGGAUUUUAUUCAGUUGAGCCUCGGGUAUUUUUCUCACAUGCACGCUCUGAAUAAUCUGCUCAAUAGCAAAGGAGACCUUCUACAAAUAUCUGGGAUUCUCUCUGUAUGCAAGUCUCUUCUCACCAGUACUAUGCUCUGUGAACUUUAGCCACCUUUAGUGGACUCUCAGCAACAUCAUCUCAACUCAAAAGGCCCAUCCGACUCUGCCUGGAUUCCUUCUCCUCACCAGGAAACCCUCUCAAGACAUCAAACUGGGUCAGUUAUAAGGCUCAACUGAUUUGUUUCCUUUCUUUCAGGGAUUGCUUUCCAUAGUUGCCUGAUGUCCAACAUCUUGAAAACAAUUUUUGAAAUAUAUUUCGUCUUGUAUUAUUGUUGUUUCAGAUAGGAGGCUGAAUCUUGUCCCUGAUACUAAAUCUUAGCUGUAAGCAUAUGCCUCUAGAUCUCUUCGGUUUAAAGAUCUCACGGGUGGCUUAUUGUAUAGUCAUGAUUGAGAGCCACUGUUUUAAAUGUCGUUAUUGGGUUUGUAUUGGGGUAGGAUAAUUCAUAUAGUUAAUGAAAUGACCCCAGUUUUUUAUGAGAUUAAAUAAAAGAGGAUUUAUAAAAUUGUUUGUGAUAUAUACUUAACAUUCAAUACCAAUACCUUUUAUCAUUUUUGGUGUACACUUGAAUUAAAAAAACACUGUAUUAUGAUAGGACCAUGAACAGAACUUGAAUAACCUGGAUUCUGUUUAUUGAUUUCCCACCUACUAGUACUGGCAAACCAUUUAAACUCCUCAAGUCUUGUUCUCCUAAUAAAUACCAUGAAGGCAGAAACUUGUUCCUUUGUGCCUUAUGGGAUAGUUGGCAAAAUUAAAAUAUUAAAGAUGAAGGUCUUUUUAUAAACUGAAAAAUGACUUACAUAUAUGUGAAUAUUGUUCUCAAUCUUUCCACAGUAGACUUUUUUUAAGGUCUGUUUUACUAUGUGUUCUACAUUACCCAAUUGAACCAUGUAUGCAUGCAAAAUCUUUGAGGCAAGGCCCUUAAAAAUAUUUGGAUAGAUUUUUAAAACUUCACCUAGCUUAGAAAAUUUUCCAAACAUCUUUUUAAAAGAUUUAAAUGUUAAUGGAGAAACUGAUUUAAAAAUAACAAACACCUAGAACAAAGUGGAAAAAGAAACCCAGAAAUAAAUGUUUUGUUAAUGUCCUUAUGGUAAUUUAUAAAAAUAAGUUGAUGGCAUCACAUGCUGUUACCAUAAAAAAUAUAGAAAUAUGUUUCCAUAUUAUAUAUAUAAUAUAUCCCAUAUGUUGAGAUUUUUAAAUUCAUUAUGCCAGUGAUGCCCCGUAAUGUUUAUAAAUGGCAGAG
Equus caballus (horse) is the source of this 1685-nucleotide long non-coding RNA. Lineage: Eukaryota; Metazoa; Chordata; Mammalia; Perissodactyla; Equidae. The record is from Ensembl.